CCUACGGGUGGCUGCAGUGGGGAAUAUUGGACAAUGGGGGCAACCCUGAUCCAGCCAUGCCGCGUGUGUGAAGAAGGCCCUCGGGGUGGAAAGCACUUUCAGUGAGGAAGAACGCCUGGUGGUUAAUACCCAUCAGGAAAGACAUCACUCACAGAAGAAGCACCGGCUAACUCCGUGCCAGCAGCCGCGGUAAUACGGAGGGUGCGAGCGUUAAUCGGAAUUACUGGGCGUAAAGCGCGCGUAGGUGGCUUGAUAAGCCGGUUGUGAAAGCCCCGGGCUCAACCUGGGAACGGCAUCCGGAACUGUCAAGCUAGAGUGCAGGAGAGGAAGGUAGAAUUCCCGGUGUAGCGGUGAAAUGCGUAGAGAUCACGAGGAAUACCCGUGGCGAAGGCAGCCUUCUGGACUGAAACUGACACUGAGGUGCGAAAGCGUGGGUAGCAAACAGGAUUAGAUACCCUAGUAGUC
Molecule: ribosomal RNA, 465 nt
Filed under: Vreelandella stevensii
Lineage: Bacteria; Pseudomonadati; Pseudomonadota; Gammaproteobacteria; Oceanospirillales; Halomonadaceae
Description: partial 16S ribosomal RNA
Rfam family: Bacterial small subunit ribosomal RNA
Source: RNAcentral